UCCUCCAAGUAGAGAUUUUAAUCCAAUGC
This 29-nucleotide non-coding RNA is filed under the name Rattus norvegicus (Norway rat). Lineage: Eukaryota; Metazoa; Chordata; Mammalia; Rodentia; Muridae. The record is from RNAcentral.